GGGUAUACACGUUUCUCCUGUCUUCAGUCUCUGGGGAGAAGGUUGUUUGUAAAGCAAAAGGGCAUUCCGUUCUCGAUGCCAAAAUGCCCAAGUGGCUUGGUUCCUGCCCAUAGAACCAAUGCCAUGGGCGAGGCUUGGAAAAACCAGUUCCUUUCGCAUUAACUGAGGACCGCCUGCUUUGUCCCUCCCCUGAACCUCAGGGAAGAAAGCAGACGGAUCCCUCGUCAUUCCAGUCAUGACACGGCUAAUUUUUGUUCUGAGUCACGGGUAACGUUCACAGGAACAGUGUCACUCCUGGUGGAUGCGCUGCCCUCUGCACGGUACCAAAUAACACUGGCAAUGGAAGCGUCGUCGUCCGCUCUCAGCGCCUCUGCCAGUGAGUCGUGUGUGUUUACUCAGUAAGUAGGUGAUGGGCUUUCUGCGAUGAGGCAUCAUGGAUGGAGUCUGUCCACAUGAAUUAAGAUGAAGCCAGUAUCAUCUGACUGUAGCUGGUUAGGGGUUGGAGAUGCUCACACAUGUUUAAACUGUAAGAAAUUUUUAGUUUCAUUUUAUCACUGGAAGAGAACUUAAGUGCAAAUAAGCCAUCACCAUGGUGCUAGUAAAAUUUUUUCUUGUUAAGUUUGGUUGGUUGGUUGGUUGGUUUUCCUUUUUGGCUAGUUUUAUUGGUUGGUUGGUUGGUUGGUUGGUUUGGUUCUUGGCUACACUCGUAGCCAUGUAGAAGUUCCCUGGCCAGUGAUCGAACCCACACCACGGUUGCAGCCUGUGCCAGAGCUGCAGCAAUGCCAGAUCCUUAACCCGCUGUGCCACCCGGGAACUUGUCUUGGCUGGUUGGUUUAAUGUAUAUAAUAAUCCCAGUUGAUGAACACAUCUCUAAGUAAAUGAGUUUUAUAUACCACAUGCCUGAGAUCAUUCUCAAGACUUAUUUCUUCCCCGAGUUUUUCCCUGACAGUAGCAGUUAGUGACAGUGUGACCCAGUCAUCUUAAUUGCUAUAAGUUUGCACAGCUCUUCUGCAUCGCUCUUGGCUAAUGAAUUAGAUUCUUACGUGGCUGACAUAGCGUGUCCAUGACAAGGUGACAGUGUAGAGAAGGACAGGAAGGAGAGGGAAGAAUGAAGAGGGACGUAAACUUUUGUCAGCACGCUAAGACACACGAACGUAACAUCCCAGCCUUUGUCCCAGGAAAAUGGGCCCAGUGAUGAGAACAUACAGAGCACCUCUGGGUCAUUUGCCCUAAUAUUAUGAUUUGUAAUCCUCGACUAUUAAAAAAAAUCGAUGGCAGAAAGUGAGGUGUGAGUGACGUUCUGAAGCGUCACAGCAAAGAGGCUUUUUGUCAAUCUUACAGUCAGACCUCCAGCCCAGUCCACUGGGCGGUUCUAGAAAACAGCUAAGUUACCUUUGACACCUAGAGUUGUAAGCUCCACAUAUGGAUGAAAAUGUGUUGAAGAAAUCUUGUUGCUUCACUCUUGGGGCUCCCUGACUCCCAUCACGGUGUUACCCACAAACUUUGCAUUUGAAACACAGUGAAGCAGUGGCUCUCCUUGGUGGCAAGGGAUACGUUGACAGCUUAGCUGUUCCUCUGGGAGACCUGUCCCCUGCAGGUCCCUAGAGGAUAUGUUGUUAGCAAGUGAAAAGCUCUUCAAAGAAUCACAUAUCCACAGAAAUCUGCCCCAUGGAAUAGUGUCACAGCCCAGAACACCCUCACUGGAGUUUUUGGAAGACAGACCCCCCCAAAUUCCAGAAGGCGUGGUCAGGGCUGGGCGUCUGCAGGGUGUGCCGGUGUAGGCUCAUGAUUUCCAAAGGCCGGGCGAGCCAAAGCCAAGACCCGGGCUCUGUUUCUCUCUCGUGGGUUAUGAAUGGAAGCCAGAGCAAGAGGCGUGGUUCACGUGGAGAACCACCAGGUGGCAGUGUGGAGAACGAGAGAGCGUUUCUGUCUCCUGGGAGAGGGAUGCUGGUUUAAACUGUUCUCGUCUGUAAAGGACUUUCUUUAACCUGUAAGCUCAGUGAUGAGGAAGGAAAAGGCAAAACACCUGCUUACUUCCAAUGGCGGAUCUAGCCUUUUCAAGCUUGUAGUACUGUGAUUUGGUAAUGUUUCUGAAGCUACCUGAAACCCAUUUAUUUAUAAACUGUAUUUUCAGGAGAGAUUGAAAUAAUUGUUGAAUUAUACGGCAUGAGAAGGAGAAAGAGGCAGGGAGAUCUUAGUAAAAAUUAAAUAUUAAGUUGGAACGGGACCAGGGAGAGCAUCAGAAGAUAAGAAAGGUACAGUGGAUGUUUUAACCAAAUGCUAGCCUAACCCAUUCAUCAAAGGAAAGAACAUGAGUUCUUUUUUCUUAUUUUUUCUUUUUUUCUGCUAUUUUAGGGCCACACCCGCAGCAUAUGGAGGUUCCCAGGCCAGAGGGUUGAAUCUGAGCCACAGCUGGGACCUAUACCACUGCUCCAGGUCAGGAAUUGAACCCACACCUCUGCAGCGACCUGAGCUGCUGCAGUUGGAUUCUUAUCCCACUGCACCACAGUGGGAACUCCCUAGUACUGUUUCUGUUACCUCAUUUCUUAACCUUAUUUUCAAGUUAACUCCUUCAGUUUCAUUAUCUGUAAAAUGGCAAUAAUAACCCAUCCUUUAGAAAGGCAUUGUGAAGAUUAAAGAUAAUAACUAGAAAAGUGCAUAGACUAUUUCAGGUACUCCAAAAAUGGUAACUGCUUUCUUGGCAUCCCACUAAUAUGAUCAUAAAAUUCUGCAAACUCUUCCUCUUUAGUAGAGCUUCAAAAUUAAUAAAAGGAAUGACGGAAACAUAAUUUAAUAGCAUAAAGCUUGUUAAUAAUAACAGAAUUAAACUACUUUAUUUUUUUUGCCUUUUUUUUUAGGGCCGCACCUGUGGCAUAUGAAGAUUCCCAGGCUAGGGGUCGAAGCAGAGCUACAGCUGCCGGCCUACACCACAGUCAUAGCAAUGCAGGAUCCAAGCCACAUCUGUGAGCUACACCACAGCUCACGGCAACACCAGAUCCUUAACCUACAGAUCAAGGCCAGGGAUUGAACCCACAACCUCAUGGUUGCUAGUCGGAUUCAUUUCUGCUGCACCACAGCAGGAACUUCUAAACUGCUUUAAAAAAACACAGUGUUUUGGACCCAGUAUAACAGCCAUCAGCCACACAUGAUAAUUUAAAUUUAACCUAAAAUCAAAAGUUAAAAGUUGGUUCUUCAAGAAUCCUGCUGUGGUGCAACGGGAUCAGCAGCAUCUUUGGAGCAUUGGGAUGCAGUUCCAGCCCUCAUUCCGGCACAGUGGGUUAAGGAUCUGGCAUUACCACAGUUACGGCUUCAGUCAACGCUGGCUCAGAUCUGUUCCCUGGCUCCAGGAACUCCAUAUGCUGUAGGGCAGCCAAAAAGGAAAAAAAAAAAAA
This 3392-nucleotide long non-coding RNA is filed under the name Sus scrofa (pig). RNAcentral describes it as "lncRNA (ENSSSCG00060020714.1)". Lineage: Eukaryota; Metazoa; Chordata; Mammalia; Artiodactyla; Suidae. The record is from RNAcentral.